This is a non-coding RNA of Erinaceus europaeus (western European hedgehog), 46 nucleotides long. The record is from Rfam. Lineage: Eukaryota; Metazoa; Chordata; Mammalia; Eulipotyphla; Erinaceidae.
CUAAAGGCUCUUUUUAGAGCCACCCAAGUUUUCAAAACAAAAAAAA